AUACAUACCUGGCAGGGGAGAUACCAUGAUCACGAAGAUAGUUUUCCCAGGGCGAGGCUUAUCCACUGCACUCUGGAUGUGCUGACCCCUGUGAUUUCCCCCCAAAUGUGGGAAACUUGACUGCAGAAUUUUUGGCAGUGGGGCACUGCGUUCGAGCCACCCCUGU
Molecule: small nuclear RNA, 166 nt
Organism: Erinaceus europaeus (western European hedgehog)
Lineage: Eukaryota; Metazoa; Chordata; Mammalia; Eulipotyphla; Erinaceidae
Gene: U1
Rfam family: U1 spliceosomal RNA
About the family: U1 is a small nuclear RNA (snRNA) component of the spliceosome (involved in pre-mRNA splicing). Its 5' end forms complementary base pairs with the 5' splice junction, thus defining the 5' donor site of an intron.
Source: Ensembl